RNAcentral lists this ribosomal RNA (253 nucleotides) under uncultured bacterium. RNAcentral describes it as "partial 16S ribosomal RNA". It matches the Rfam family "Bacterial small subunit ribosomal RNA", at positions 524 to 776 of the family's 1533-position model. The record is from RNAcentral.
UACGUAGGGUGCAAGCGUUGUCCGGAAUUAUUGGGCGUAAAGAGCUCGUAGGCGGUCUGUUGCGUCGGCUGUGAAAACCCGGGGCUCAACCCCGGGCCUGCAGCCGAUACGGGCAGACUAGAGUUCGGCAGGGGAGACUGGAAUUCCUGGUGUAGCGGUGAAAUGCGUAGAUAUCAGGAGGAACACCUGCGGUGUAGACGGCUUACUGGACCAUAACUGACGCUGAGGCACGAAAGCGUGGGUAGCAAACAGG